UACGGAGGGUCCAAGCGUUAUCCGGAAUCAUUGGGUUUAGAGGGUCCGUAGGCGGUUUUGUAAGUCAGUGGUGAAAGCCCAUCGCUCAACGGUGGAACGGCCAUUGAUACUGCAAGACUUGAAUUAUUGGGAAGCAACUAGAAUAUGUAGUGUAGCGGUGAAAUGCUUAGAGAUUACAUGGAAUACCAAUUGCGAAGGCAGGUUGCUACCAAUACAUUGACGCUGAUGGACGAAAGCGUGGGGAGCGAACAGG
This 253-nucleotide ribosomal RNA is filed under the name uncultured bacterium. RNAcentral describes it as "partial 16S ribosomal RNA". It matches the Rfam family "Bacterial small subunit ribosomal RNA", at positions 524 to 776 of the family's 1533-position model. The record is from RNAcentral.